Molecule: ribosomal RNA, 369 nt
Filed under: Tylotropidius varicornis
Lineage: Eukaryota; Metazoa; Arthropoda; Insecta; Orthoptera; Acrididae
Description: partial 28S ribosomal RNA
Source: RNAcentral
ACGUGAAACUGCUUAGAGGUUAAACCCGAUGAACCUAAAUAUCCAGUAUGAGAAAGUCAUUAUUAUGAGUAUAUUAUUUUAUAAUGUAUUAAUAGUGUGCAUUUUUUUCAUAAAAAGGACAUUGUAAUCUGUUAAUACAAUUUAUAUAUUCUUUUAUAUAUUAUUUUUAUCAUAAAGAGUCAUGUAUAAGUUUACAUAUAAAUUAAUUAAUUUAUUAAUUAAUUGAUGUAAGAUCGAUGAAUUUCUAGAUAAAUAGUUAACAGUAUUAAAAUAUAUAAUGCUUACAUAAUUUUUUAUGUUUUAUAUAUAAUAUGUACAUGUACGAUAUAUAUGUUUUUGCAUUUAUAUUAUAACAAUGCUCAAGGAGAG